GCUUUUGCAUUCAAUUUUCAUCACAAUCACAGGGCGUUGGCCUUGGACAAGAUGUCCCUCUUUUUCUCUCGAAAAGUUUUUCCAUUUCGCGCCCCCCUCCUCUCUCUCUAAAACGUUGUCCAUUUCGCGUCCCGCUCUCUCUAGGAGAAACAUGUCAUAGGACACGAAGCAAUCUCUCUCUCUCUCUAGCUCCAUUUGGCUGCUGUCUCUCGCCGGAAAGAGGAAGCGAAGCAGAUUGAUCGAACACAAAACGCGCACCCUCUGUCCAUGGUAUUUUUUUCCAUUUCUUCAGAGAAGUUCGCAGAGGAAGAGUGAUGGCGGUCACAGCAGGUAAAGUGGCGUUUCGCGUGACCUUUGUCGUCCUUUUGGUGCUUCUCGCCUUCUACGUUGGCCGACCCCUCUACUGGAAGCUCUCCGCCACCAUUCAUGAGAUCCGCGAGUCCAAGCACCCUUACUCUGUUCGAGACGGGCUUUCACAUUUUGUUCAUGAAGCUCAGAAAUCGGUGGGAUGGUUCCAUGAUGAGUCAGAUGCAGGAGGUAUCGAUGAUACGAGCAGCAAGGCCACUAACCGGAGGCUUCUUCAGAUUGAUAGAAGAAAUAAAGAUCGUGGUGCAUGUGCAUGUUUGAACUUAGUUGACCUCUGCUAAAAGAAAGCGGUAGUUUCCUUUCAACUUGGCCCAUUCUACUCCUCAUCUAGAUGACGUUGGGGAAUGAAUUAUGACAUAGGCAACCAACCCAAUCUUCGUUACAAAAGACAACUAGCAGAGAGAUAGACACUUUCCCAAAGUUUCCAGAAGAUGGCUGAUCGUCAUGAACCUCAACUAUCAAUCUCAACUACGAGGGAAACAGAUGCCUACUUGAAUAUGCACUGUAUGCAAUGUUGAAUGCCUUGAACCAGAAAACAAAAGUUGUCCAUUCUACUGCUACAAAUUUCUGUGAUGUUGGCCAAAUAAAAGGAUGAGAAUCUGUUACAAUAUUGAAAGACUCGUGCCUUUGCUGAAGCAUGAGUCCCAAACGUGAGGUGCAUUCUUUUAUGUGCUAUAUCCCUCUAGAGGUUUUUUUGGGUAUUCGGUGCUUCCUCUAGAUAUGCUGAAUUGUUUAAGUUGUGGUUCAGUUGAGGUGUGUCAUUUGAGGCAUGCUUUAAAUUGCUUUUGUUGUUUGUUUGUACCUUACACGGAAAGCACCCCAACAAUGUUGCCAUUGUUUGAUAGACAAUGCACAUAUUUGUACUACAUAAAAAAAGAAUAUCUAGGCGAAAGAAUAUCUAGGUGGA
Amborella trichopoda is the source of this 1273-nucleotide non-coding RNA. The record is from RefSeq and is a predicted model, not a curated record. NCBI's taxonomy places the organism in Eukaryota, Viridiplantae, Streptophyta, Magnoliopsida, Amborellales, Amborellaceae.